CACUGCCCCCCAUUAACAGGUAACCCCCCCAUAGUACAGUUACUAUCACUGCCCCCCAUUAAUAAGUAGCCCACCCAAUAAUACAGUUACUAUCACUGCCCCCCAUUAAUAGGUAACCUCUACAUUAUAGAGUUACUGUCACUGCCCCCAUUAACAUGCAAUCCCCCCAAUAAUACAGUUAGAGCCAUAUAAUAUCACGGAAUAGGCGAGAGCUGUAUUAUCUCACAGAGCAGGUGAGAGCUGUAAAAUCUCACGGAAUAUGCGAGAGCUGUAUAAUCUCACGGAGCAGGUGUGAGCUGUAUAAUGUCACGGAAUAGGCGAGAGCUGUAUUAUCUCACGGAGCAGGUUAGAGCUGUAUAGUCUCACGGAAUAGGUGAGAGCUGUAAAAUCUCAUGGAAUAUGCGAGAGCUGUAUAAUCUCACGGAAUAGGCGAGAGCUGUAUUAUCUCAAGAAGCAGGUGAGAGCUGUAUAAUCUCACGGAAUAGGCGAGAGCUGUAUAAUCUCACGGAAUAGGCGAGAGCUGUAUAAUCUCACAGAGCAGGUAAGAGCUGUAUAAUCUCACGGAAUAGGCGAGAGCUGUAUAAUCUCACAGAGCAGGUGAGAGCUGUAUAAUCUCACGGAAUAGGCGAGAGCUAUAAAAUCUCACAGAGCAGGUAGAGCUGUAUAAUCUCACGGAAUAGGCGAGAGCUGUAAAAUCUCACAGAGCAGGUGAGAGCUGUAUAAUCUCACGGAAUAGGCGAGAGCUGUAAAAUCUCACAGAGCAGGUAAGAGCUGUAUAAUCUCACGGAAUAGGCGAGAGCUGUAAAAUCUCACAGAGCAGGUGAGAGCUGUAUAAUAUCACGGAAUAGGCGAGAGCUGUAAAAUCUCACAGAGCAGGUGAGAGCUGUAUAAUGUCACGGAAUAGGCGAGAGCUGUAAAAUCUCACAGAGCAGGUAAGAGCUGUAUAAUAUCACGGAAUAGGCGAGAGCUGUAAAAUCUCACAGAGCAGGUGAGAGCUGUAUAAUGUCACGGAAUAGGCGAGAGCUGUAAAAUCUCACAGAGCAGGUGAGAGCUGUAUAAUAUCACGGAAUAGGCGAGAGCUGUAAAAUCUCACAGAGCAGGUGAGAGCUGUAUAAUAUCACGGAAUAGGCGAGAGCUGUAAAAUCUCACAGAGCAGGUGACAGACAAGGAAUCUCACAAUAAGCAGUCAGUCAUAUAACGUUUUACUAAUUUAGAUAUCUAUUGCCCCACCGUCUAGUUUAGUCCUGUGAUAAUUAAAAUCACAAACUGUUAGACAUUUCCCUCUGGAUUGAUGUGAAUUUUAAAAUCAUACAAACCUUUCCUUUAAGAUCCGUCGGUAGAGUAAAUUUUGCUAAAACAGUCUUUGAUUCUAUACAGAAUAACUGAGUCUUUUUAUAAAUAUUUGUGUUAAAAUUCUUUCAAAAAUAAAGCACAGUACGAGAACAUAUAUAUAUUCGAUUAGGCCAGAUCCAGAACUUUUCCUGCUGUUGCAGUUUGGAGAGUUACUUUAUUAGCAGUUUGUUAUCCCUCUAAUCAGAUUUAGAAACCGUAAGAGAAGUUACUCUCUCUGCUGUGUGUAUUUACAGGCAGAGAGCUUUGCUGCGGCUGGGAGAGAUGGAUGUGGGAUUGAGACCUCGAGCUCUGGAAAGUGAGUAUCUCCAAUCAUUCUCUAACCAGAUUGACAAAACCACAAUCUUACUAUGAAGUCUUUAAAUCGCAGUUUUGCCAUCAUAGAAACAUAGAAACAUAGAAUGUGACGGCAGAUAAGAACCAUUCGGCCCAUCUAGUCUGCCCAAUUUUCUAAAUACUUUCAUUAGUCCCUAGUCUUAUCUUAUAGUUAGGAUAGCCUUAUGCCUAUCCCACGCAUGCUUAAACUCCUUUACUGUGUUAACCUCUACCACUUCAGCUGGAAGGCUAUUCCAUGCAUCCACUACCCUCUCAGUAAAGUAAUACUUCCUGAUAUUAUUUUUAAACCUUUGUCUCUCUAAUUUAAGACUAUGUCCUCUUGUUGUGGUAGUUUUUCUUCUUUUAAAUAUAGUCUCCUCCUUUACUGUGUUGAUUCCCUUUAUAUAUUUAAAUGUUUCUAUCAUAUCCCCCCUGUCUCGUCUUUCCUCCAAGCUAUACAUGUUAAGAUCCUUUAACUUUUCCUGAUAAGUUUUAUCCCGCAAUCCAUGAACCAGUUUAGUAGCCCUUCUCUAAACCCUCUCUAAGGUAUCAAUAUCCUUCUGAAUAGCUCCUCCUUCAGAUGGCUAUCCUAAUGUUCCGUUCCCUCUCCUCCUUCAGAUGGCUAUCCUAAUGUUCCGUUCCCUCUCCUCCUUCAGAUGGCUAUCCUAAUGUUCCGUUCCCUCUCCUCCUUCAGAUGGCUAUCCUAAUGUUCCGUUCCCUCUCCUCCUUCAGAUGGCUAUCCUAAUGUUCCGUUCCCUCUCCUCCUUCAGAUGGCUAUCCUAAUGUUCCGUUCCCUCUCCUCCUUCAGAUGGCUAUCCUAAUGUUCCGUUCCCUCUCCACCUUCAGAUGGCUAUCCUAAUGUUCCGUUCCCUCUCCACCUUCAGAUGGCUAUCCUAAUCUUCGGUUCCCUCUCCUCCUUCAGAUGGCUUUCCCUCUGUUCAGUUCUCUCUGUAAUGUUCUGUCUUUCAGAUGGGUUCCUCCCUUGUGUUGUACGGCCUUUGCAACAUGGCAUCAUACCAUUCAUUAAUCUACCUUUGAAAAAGGUCUCAAUUUUUCCUUUCACAACAGCGCUGGAUCCCCCUGCGAAGCCUUAUCUAACGGGCUCUUUGAAGCAAGACAUUCACAGAUACUUCAUAGUGCAGAGAUCAUAUGCAAAUAGUCACUUGUGAAUUAUAUCUAAAUUUAUUUAUGCAGCUAUAAUAAUAUGACUUUGUUGAUUUGUUCAGAGAAGCACUAAGUCAAUCUCAAUAUUACAUUUUGUGUGGCCCAUACAAAGAUCUUAUUUCUUGUAGACCUACAUAUUAAAAUUGAUGUGCAACAAAUACUAAAUACAUACUUACAAUUACAUUAAAAAUUCCCUUGAUGAAAGUACACAAAUUGCAUUGAAGUGCUGAAUUAAAAGUGCAAAUGUUGUAGUGUCUGCUUCUACCUUUAGGGAGAGUCAGAACUCCUACUACAGAAAUAAGAGGUAUAAAGGAUUGCGAUACCCGAUUUUCACUGCAAGGGUGAAGCAAACCUCCCUCCUCGAUCAUUAAAAUGCA
Pelobates cultripes (western spadefoot toad) is the source of this 3206-nucleotide non-coding RNA. Lineage: Eukaryota; Metazoa; Chordata; Amphibia; Anura; Pelobatidae. The record is from the annotation of a GenBank genome assembly.